GUUUUGUUUCAUGUUGGAGUCUCCCUAUGGACCAGACUUUUUUUCUAAGGAGUCUUCUUCCAGGCUUAUUUUUUAAAUCUAAUUAUACAGUAUAUGAACACUGUAUAUGGUUAUUUUACAGUUAUUUUUAUAAAUGAUUUACAGAAAAUCCCUAUGAUCAAGACCAACAAUGUGCUUUCCCUUCUCUCCAGACCUGUUCCAGGUACUGCCAAAAAGAUAAGGAUCAUAGUGGAUGUUUUCUUCACAAUAUCCAGCCCACCUCCCCCACUUAUGCAGCAGCAAACAUACGUUGGAGUUCCCGCUCCUGGUGAAAAGAGAUUCUGACUAACCUGCGCUUAAAAUCUUUACUUCCUCUGUACUUUUCAGUUACAUGAGUCAAUAAAUUUCCUUUAUUAAGUCAGUUUGAAUGGGAUUUUUUAAUAAAACUGAUUAUGGGAUCCUACUUACCUUAUUCACAUUAAUUUUUAACAGCUUUAUUGAUAUAGAAUUUUUUAAGAUACAAUUUAUGUACAUAUGAUCCGUCCAUUUAACGUGUAUACACAGAUGGAUGGUUUUUAGUAUAACCACAAAGUUGUGUGACCAUGACCAGAAUGAAUAUUAGAAUACUUUCAUCACUUUUAACAGAAACCCUGUACGCAGUACCAGCCACUCUCCAUUUCUACCUGUGGUGGACUUCUGACUUCCACAGCUACAAGAUAAUAAAUGGCAGUGACAGAAAGUGAAUAAGCAAAUUAGAAAGAAUGACAUUUACAAUUCUUCUCUAGAGAAAUGUCUAUUCAAGUCUUUGCUCAUUUUUCAACUGGAUUAUUUAUCUUUUUAUUGCUGAGUUAUAAGAGUUCCUGGCUUCCCUGGUGGCUCAGAUGGUAAAGAAUCUUCCUGCAACGUGGGAGACCUAGGUUCAAUCCCUGGGUCAGGAAGAUACUCUGGUGAAGGAAAUGGCAACCCACUCCAGUGGUCUUGCUGGGAAAUCCCAUGGACAGUGGUGCCUGGUGGGCUACAUUCCAUGGGGUUGCAAAGAGUCAGACACGACUGAGCGACUAACAUUUUAUAAGAGUUCUUUAUAUAUUCUGGGUACAAGUCCCUUAUCAAAUAAAUAAUUUGUAAAUAUUUCCUCACAUUCUGUAAGUUGUCUUUUCACAUUCUUGGUCAUGUUCUCUGAUCCGCAAAAUAUUUAAUUUUGAUAAAAUCCAAUGUAUCUAUUUUUCUUUUAUUGUCUGUGCUUUUGGUGUCAUAUUUAAGAAGAUUUUGUCUAACCUAAAGUCAUGAAGAUUUACUUCUAUGUUUUCUCUUAAGAUUUUAUAGUUUUAGCUCUUACAUUUAGAUCUAUGAUCCAGUUAAAUUUUAUGUGUGGUGUAAAAAAGGGGUCCAACUUUAUUCUUUUGCAUGUGGAUAUCCAGUUAUCCCAGCAUUGUUCAUUGAAAAGACUAUUCUUUCCCCCACUGAGUUGUCUUACCACCUUGUUGAAAACUGAUUGGCCAUAAUAGGAAGAGUCUAUUUCUGGAUUCUCAAAUCUGUUCACCUUAUAUGGUUCUCCUUAUAUCAGUAUUACCCAGUCUUUUAAACUUUUUUUAACUUAAUUAAUU
This is a long non-coding RNA of Bos grunniens (domestic yak), 1583 nucleotides long. NCBI's taxonomy places the organism in Eukaryota, Metazoa, Chordata, Mammalia, Artiodactyla, Bovidae. The record is from Ensembl.